This 2849-nucleotide long non-coding RNA is filed under the name Neodiprion lecontei (redheaded pine sawfly). RNAcentral describes it as "uncharacterized LOC124295042, transcript variant X1". The record is from RNAcentral. Lineage: Eukaryota; Metazoa; Arthropoda; Insecta; Hymenoptera; Diprionidae.
GAUGACGUCGACUACCUGCCACCGUCACGUAGGAGGAGAAAAAGGUAAAACCUGGGGAAGGGGCAUGGUCGAGUAGCCCAUCACCCUUCUCUACAAUGACCAUCAGCCUCCAAUGCAUCUUGGACUGGAAACGGAAUGCAGCUGGACCGGUGCACGGUGGUGGUGAUGGACCUACAAAGGCCGAUAAACGGGGGCAAAGUCGACUCUCCGUCGUUACGAUUCUAGGAGAAAAGAACCCGGAGAGUUAGAACUGGGAACGAACAAAGAGAAGACCACGAUUUGGCGGUACCUGUAACCUUUCUCGUUUCGUAAUGAUGUUAUACCUGAAAUAUGCAUUGCCUAUAAGCGACUACUGGUGGUGAUGAAUUUUUGGUACGGAAUUUGCAUUUACGCGUAGAGUAUGAAAUGAGAUAUACGUACGUAAUCCCUUCUCUUGGGACUUUCACUGCGAGUAUAUUUGGUAUCGUGAAUUUUAGAAAAUAAGAUUGCAGCUCGCUUUUCAAAUUUGCAUGACAUGUGCAUAGACAGUGUUAACGAUUCUUCGACGGUUCGACCGAAAUCCAUUUUGCGAUAUGGAUGACGUACACGCGUCGUUUGCUUUCUGGUUCCAGGUAUUUGUGCUACUUGAGAAGAAUCUGUAAACAAGGACCGUGAAAACGGUGAUAGAACUCCAUGUAUUUAUAUGGCGUAAUUAACUACUGCGUAAACUUGAUCACGCACCAGAAACGGCAAACGAUAGCUUCGAAAGCAAGUUGAUAAUUAGGAUGAAAUUUCUCUGACGAUGAGGGAUUAGCACAAAACCCACUCGAGAAAUUAAGUCAAGCGCUCAUCUUCAACGUGGAUAGAAUUGGAACACGCUUAGCGUUUCUCAUUCCGAAACUUUGGGUAGAGACGGAUGGGCAAAAAAUUGUAGUUUUUUUUUAAUUCUACGCCUGGGUGAGGUGACAAAGCUAAUCUUAAGUCUGAGGAUUUAAUUGUUAACCAACCUUCCUACCAUCUCAUCAACCGAUGAAUUAUUCUGACUAUUAUUCAAGUCUAUGUAACUUGCAGCUUUUACUUCAGCCAACACAUUCGAUAAAUUACGACCAACAGAAGAGGCAAGAUUGUGCAAUGUAACAGUGUCUCCGUUACCAUACAGAGAUCGUAAUUGAUUUUUGUAAAGGGUUUCUUGUCUUAGCAUAUCUACCUAUUUCUACGUUCGCAAUUUGUUCAAGGAUUCAGGAUAAUCGUUGAAGUAGUUCGAGGGAAAUAAACGAAACUACAAUACAGAGUUGUGAGCCUUGAGUGAGGUCUGACAAACAGGCGAGUCACGGAAAAUUUUCAAGUGUACAGCAUCGCAGUACUUGGAAUACCGAAACCUCAGCACGUACGCUGGAAGAUCUUGAAUUUAGAUUGACUGACAGGCAAUACUGAGCAACCUAUGUUACGUCGUACUCGUACAGCAUCAUCAAACGAUGAAUUAUUGGAGAUCUGAAAAUUUCACAUGCAUGAGUAGCCAAGAUUUGGCAGUAUGGAGAACGUCGAAUGCAUUUUUUACUGGAGAAUAAUAAAUUCGCGUCAAGUUCAUCGGCUGGAAGUCUUCAACACAAACGCAUGAUGUCGAGCAGCACAAGAUGAAUGAACACUGCAAAUCACACGGAUUUCAAUGGAAGAAGGUCCUUAAUAAGUGGCACGGAAGACAUAUAACAGUGAUCAAGCGUUUAUCGUUAAACUGAGCAGAUUCAAAAUAUCUGAAAAUGUGCUUAAACGAUUUGCUUGGGAAACCACGUUUAGUUCAAUUUAGUUGACGUUAAUUGGAUCGUGGAGGUGAAAAUUUAUGUGCGUGAUAUUGAUGGGUGUUAAUUAGUUAAUUAGUUAGUACGUUACCCUAUAAUCUGCAUAGUAUCAUCAAUCAUGUAUUUCUAAUUAAAUAUUUUGUACUGAUAUGAAUAUGGGAAAUGAUGCCAAAACUAUGUUGUAUGAAUGCUCUCUGAUUAAUUAUUGAUACGAAGGUCGCGACGAGUCUGAAAACGCGUCUCAAACUGAUUCUAGGACCAUUGGUUUUUCACCGCAACAGACACGGAAUGAAUCUAACACCUGUAAGAUUUUUACGGACGAAGUUUAGCUACUUAUUUUUUUCGAUAGAGAACCGUUGCGUAGUCUGAGCUCGCCGCGAACGGCGUAUUACAAUAUGUCGUGAUUUUUGCCCAAAAUUUUGACAGUUUUGAUAACGCUGGAAACAAUUCUUUCAUGCACUUUCAUACACACGUAAUUUUGAGAUAAAAAUCGAUUGCGCGCAGUCCGAACACGCCGCGCGCAAUGGGUCAAGAGAUUCAGCCGACAAACAAGAAAAUCUUGCGGUAUUAUCAGUUGUUGGUCCUUUGCGAUUGUAUGUACCCAUUCUUCAUUUUCGAGGGUCCGAUUGGAGUACAAACUUCGCAAAGACAGCAAGUUUUACCUAACAAAGAAAGGUUCAGAAGUACCAUCCAAAAUACAAAGAAAAUUUUGACUGGGUCUCGACAAGGUGAUAGAGAAAAGUCAUAAAUUCAUGGCUCAAAGUUUCGAUUUAUUCAGUAUGACUUAAUUCUAGUACAAGUGUUCCUGUGUCAGUGUGUAGUUAUUUAACAGGUUAACAGAUAGAGCUGGAGUUGAAGACUAAGGAAAAGCAAUAAUAUCAUUGAAUAUGUGAUCAGUAAUCUAAUUAUUGGAUGAGAAAAUAUGUGUGCAAUAUACACUGUCAUGGGCAGACCAUGAAAAAUAUUAUAUCGGAUGAUUAUAAUCAUAGUUUGAGUACACAGCUCAAAUUUCGGCAGAGGUACGCUAGCGAGAAAUGUAUGCACGAACGAUGAAUGUUGUAUAAUAUUGUAUGG